RNAcentral lists this ribosomal RNA (1100 nucleotides) under uncultured bacterium. RNAcentral's name for it is "bacterial SSU rRNA". It matches the Rfam family "Bacterial small subunit ribosomal RNA", at positions 26 to 1124 of the family's 1533-position model. The record is from RNAcentral.
GCCCGAACGCUGGCGGCGUGCUUAACACAGUGCAAGUCGAGCGAUGAGAUCCCUUCGGGGAUGGAUUAGCGGCGAACGGGUGAGGAACACGUGAGGAAUCUACCUUCUACUCUGGGAUAACUCCGGGAAACCGGGGCUAAUACCGGAUAUGAAAUCCGAUGGCAUCAUGGGAUUUGGAAAGUUUUUCGGUAGAAGAUGACCUCGCGGCCUAUCAGCUUGUUGGUGAGGUAAUGGCUCACCAAGGCGACGACGGGUAGCCGGCCUGAGAGGGCGACCGGCCACACUGGGACUGAGACACGGCCCAGACUCCUACGGGAGGCAGCAGUGUGUGAAUAUUGGGCAAUGGAGGAAUACUCUGACCCAGCGACGGCCGGCGUGCGGGGAUGAAAGGCCUUCGGGGUUGGUAAACCGCUUUCAGCAGAGGAAGGAAGCGAAAAAAGACGGUAUCUGCAGAAGAAGCACCGGCUAACUAUUUGUGCCAGCAGCCGCGGUAAUACAUAGGGUGCAAGCGUUGUCCGGAAUUAUUGGGCGUAAAGAAGCUCCGUAGGUGGUUCAUUACGUCGGAUGUGAAAAUCUGGGGCUCAACCCCAGACCUUGCAUUCGAUACGGGUGAUCUAGAGUGUGGUAGGGGAGACUGGAAUUCCUGGUGUAGCGGUGGAAUGCGCAGAUAUCAGGAGGAACACCAAUGGCGAAGGCAGGUCUCUGGGCCAUUACUGACACUGAGGAGCGAAAGCGUGGGGAGCGAACAGGAUUAGAUACCCUGGUAGUCCACGYYKUUAAACGGUGGGCCCUCCAUGUGGGAACCUUCCACGGUUUCUGCGACGCAGCUAACGCAUUAAGUGCCCCGCAUGUGAGACUACGAUCGCAAGAUUAAAACUCAAAGGAAUUGACGGGGCCCCGCACAAGCAGCGGAGCAUGCGGCUUAAUUCGACGCAACGCGAAGAACCUUACCAAGGCUUGACAUAUACCGGAAUAUGGCAGAGAUGUCAUAGCUGUAAAAGGUCGGUAUACAGGUGGUGCAUGGUUGUCGUCAGCUCGUGUCGUGAGAUGUUGGGUUAAGUCCCGCAACGAGCGCAACCCUCGUUCUGUGUUGCCAGCAU